RNAcentral lists this long non-coding RNA (964 nucleotides) under Callithrix jacchus (white-tufted-ear marmoset). RNAcentral describes it as "lncRNA (ENSCJAG00000082436.1)". The record is from RNAcentral. Lineage: Eukaryota; Metazoa; Chordata; Mammalia; Primates; Cebidae.
GGGAACUAAAAUACUUUGGCUCUGGGUGAGGCACAAUUUGCACGGAGUUGGAAGGUGCACCUGUCAGUUGCUUGGUUUACCUAUACCUCAGAGCCCUGUAUCUUCCUGAAGGAGAAAGGGAACUAGUGCUUUGCAAGUGGGUCUCUCAUAAUCACUUAAUUAUGAUUAUUCAGACACAAAAGGAAAUUCUGGAAUUAGCAACCACAGUAAUCAGCAUUCUUCCCAUUUUGAAGAUGAGGACAUGUAGUACACAGCACAGGUAGUAUAUAGCAAAGCCCAAACUCAACAUGUCUGUGUGAUCUUAGCCCUGAGCUAUCAUUUCAAGAGAAGACAUCAAGAACUAAGGCCACAGGCAAGAAACAAAGAAGCUGGGAUUAGCAGCUUGUGACAUCAGAGAACACAGGCAACGUCUCGGAGCUCCACUGCGGCAAUGGAAGGAACUUAGAAGGAGGACAACCAGGCUUUCCCUGCCAUCUGGAGCCUAAAAACUGCCCUAAUCAACUCCUUUGCCCAGCUCGCAACCAGAGGAGAAAUGGAAAUAAUCAGUAAAUGAGAAAUCAGGGUCUAUUUGAGUGUUGAGUGUUUACAACAUGGUGCCAGAUAUUUGGAAAGAAAUAAGUGUGACUGAAGUAUGAAGAGGGGACUCUUUCUUUCACCUAAUAAAUGGUUUAGUGACGACUCAGUCACACCCCAAGGUCACUCUUGAAAUCACAGCCUUAUGAAGUGGCCCACGAGAAUCAGACCAGCUGCUAGUGUCUCCUUCUCUUCCAAAGCUCCCAGAAAGACAGCUGCCCCUUGGAAGAUUUAUUUCUUAAGCCAGGAGUUCUCAGACUUAGCAGUCUAUCUGUGCCACUGUGUUCCACAAAAGAUGGUGAGAAAUACUGUCUCCAUAUUACAGCUAUUUAUUUAUUACUGUGGGUAUAUUACUCCUUUAAUUACUCGAUUUAUGAAAAAAAUUCUUUAA